UACUUAAAUACGAGUCUUUAACUUUUAAAGUAAUUUUUUUAAAAAAGGCGAAAAGAAAUUAACUGGUUUUUUUAACAUGGCUAUAGAGUAUUUAAGUCAAAACCCGAAUGGAGGUGAACUAUUCCUGCAAAGAUUGAAGUCAGGGGAAACUCUGAUGGAAGAUCGUUGGCGUUAUUGAUGUGCAAAUCAUUUGCUUUAUGUAGGUAUAGGUGCGAAAGACUCAUCGAACCUCCUAAUAGCUGGUUUCCUCCGAAGUUUCCCUCAGGAUAGCUGUAACAUUUUUAAAUAGUUAAGGAUAGUAGAGAAAUGGGUAGAGGUGUAGUGGAACUACGGUUCUGCAACUUAUUUCCAAACUUCGAACGUUCUUGAUAUAAAAAAUUACCUAAUAGGAAUUUUUUAUUUAAAUAUAUGUUAUAAGUGGGCUCUGACCGGUAAGCGGUCAUGGCGAAAAGGGAUGAACCUAACGUAUAAAUAAGGUGCCUAAAUUUACUAACAAUGAAACCAUUAAAAGAGUCCAUGUAUUUAGACAGCGGGUCGGUGCCCCUAAAAGCAGGUAUCCGUUAAUGAGUGUGUUAAAACUCCCCCGCCGAAUACUCUGGCCUUGAAAAUGAAUGGCGCAUAUAGUAAUACCGAUAUUAUACAUUAAAAUUAUUUAAAAAUUUUAAAAGUAGGGGGAUGUGGAUAUCUUAGAGAAUUUUUAAUUGUAAAAUUGAAUUGAAAGAUAUCUAUUACAGAUCCUAAUUGAAGUAGCGAUUAUCCAGGUUAAUCUCCUGGGGGCUGAUGAGGAGUAGGGUUUCUGGGCAACUUAAACGGACCCAGAGUUAGUCGAUCCUAAUCAAAUUAAAUUUAGAGAAAGGGAAUAUGAAUGAUAUUUCAUAACUAAAAUUAAUUUUUAAAUGGUGACAUUUUUUUAAACUUAUUUCCAUCAAUUAAAUACUGUUUAAUAGGGAUUUCUUUCCUAUAUAACUUUUUAAUUAAAACUUAAGAAACAGGUUAACUGGAGAAUAAAGUUUUAAUUUAGUAAAAUUAUAAUUUCGAUUAUAAUAACGGCUAUUUAAAUGAUCCAUGAAACAAUAAGUUUAUUUUUUCAAAAAUUAAUUUAAUCGUACCGAUAACCGCAUCAGGUCUCCAAGGUGAGUAGCUUCUGGCCAUUGAGUAAUGGUAAUUUAGGGAAUUCGGCCAAUUAGAGCUGUAACUUCGGGAUAAAGCUUGGCUCUGAUGGAAAUCAGAACCGAUAGUUACAAGGAGAGCCCAACUGUUUAAUAAAAACUUAGUGUCGCGUCAUACCUUUAUAAGUAAUAAACGUGACAUGAAUCCUGCUCAGUGCUGUGUUUGUUAAACUGGAUUAAUCCAUUUAAGCGCCGGUAAAUAGCUGGGGUAACUAUGACUCUUAUCAAAGUAGCGAAAUACCUCGUCACUUAAUUAGUGACCUGCAUGAACGGAGCUAUGAGGUUCUCACUGUCCCAAAUUAUCACUCAGCGAACCAACAGUUGUGGGAACGGGCACAAAUUAUCCAGCGGGGAAAGAAGACCCUGUAGAGCUUCACUUUGGUCUAAUCUUGUAUAGUUUCGUUAGGGGUGCAGUCUAGGUGGGAGAUUUUUAAUCAAAUAUGAGAAACCACUACCCUUUCUGGAAUUAUACUUACUAAAAUUCUUUUCUAAAUUUUAGGAUCGGAUUAGAUAGAAAGUUUGGCUGGGGCGGCACACCUUCGAAAAAGCAGCGAAGGUGUCCUAAGUUAAGCUCAGUAAGGACAGAAAUCUUACGUUGAGGAUAAGGCCAAAAGCUUAAUUUACUGUGCCUUUUUGUACUAGGAUCAGUUUGGAAACAAAGGCCUAACGAUCCCUAAUUAGUCUUAGGUGUGUAAGACUUGGGGUGACAGACAAGUUACCUCCGGGACAACUGGCUUGUGGC
This 1911-nucleotide ribosomal RNA is filed under the name human gut metagenome. Its description in RNAcentral is "eukaryotic LSU rRNA". It matches the Rfam family "Eukaryotic large subunit ribosomal RNA", at positions 677 to 2841 of the family's 3401-position model. The record is from RNAcentral.